UACGAAGGGGGCUAGCGUUGUUCGGAAUUACUGGGCGUAAAGCGCACGUAGGCGGAUUGUUAAGUCAGAGGUGAAAUCCCGAGGCUCAACCUCGGAACUGCCUUCAAUACUGGCAAUCUUGAGUCCGGGAGAGGUGAGUGGAACUCCGAGUGUAGAGGUGAAAUUCGUAGAUAUUCGGAAGAACACCAGUGGCGAAGGCGGCUCACUGGCCCGGUACUGACGCUGAGAUGCGAAAGCGUGGGGAGCAAACAGG
Molecule: ribosomal RNA, 253 nt
Filed under: uncultured bacterium
Lineage: Bacteria
Description: partial 16S ribosomal RNA
Rfam family: Bacterial small subunit ribosomal RNA
Source: RNAcentral